CCCAGACUCCUACGGGAGGCAGCAGUGGGGAAUAUUGGGCAAUGGGCGCAAGCCUGACCCAGCAACGCCGCGUGAAGGAAGAAGGCUUUCGGGUUGUAAACUUCUUUUAAGAGGGAAGAGUAGAAGACGGUACCUCUUGAAUAAGCCACGGCUAACUACGUGCCAGCAGCCGCGGUAAUACGUAGGUGGCAAGCGUUGUCCGGAUUUACUGUGUGUACAGGGCGUGUAGCCGGGUUGACAAGUCAGAUGUGAAAUCCUGCGGCUUAACCGCAGAACUGCAUUUGAAACUGUUGAGCUUGAGUACUGGAGAGGCAGACGGAAUUCCUGGUGGAGCGGUGAAAUGCGUAGAUAUCAGGAGGAACACCGGUGGCGAAGGCGGCCUGCUGGACUGCAACUGACGUUGAGGCCCGAAAGCGUGGGGAGCAAACAGGAUUAGAUACCCCCGUAU
Molecule: ribosomal RNA, 448 nt
Filed under: uncultured bacterium
Lineage: Bacteria
Description: partial 16S ribosomal RNA
Rfam family: Bacterial small subunit ribosomal RNA
Source: RNAcentral